This 253-nucleotide ribosomal RNA is filed under the name uncultured bacterium. Its description in RNAcentral is "partial 16S ribosomal RNA". It matches the Rfam family "Bacterial small subunit ribosomal RNA", at positions 524 to 776 of the family's 1533-position model. The record is from RNAcentral.
UACGUAGGGGGCGAGCGUUGUCCGGAAUUACUGGGCGUAAAGGGCGCGUAGGCGGCCUUCUAAGUCGAACGUGAAAUCCCUGGGCUCAACCCAGGAACUGCGUCCGAUACUGAAAGGCUUGAAUCCGGGAGAGGGAUGCGGAAUUCCAGGUGUAGCGGUGAAAUGCGUAGAUAUCUGGAGGAACACCGGUGGCGAAGGCGGCAUCCUGGACCGGUAUUGACGCUGAGGCGCGAAAGCCAGGGGAGCAAACGGG